Molecule: ribosomal RNA, 497 nt
Filed under: uncultured bacterium
Lineage: Bacteria
Description: partial 16S ribosomal RNA
Rfam family: Bacterial small subunit ribosomal RNA
Source: RNAcentral
GAUGAACGCUGGCGGCGUGCCUAACACAUGCAAGUCGAGCGGACGCACGGUAAGCGCUCUCUUCUGAUGGUAGCGAGUGGCGGGUGAGUAACAAGUGCAUAACCUUCUUAUAAGACUGGGAGAACUUCGGGAGGCCGUAUCUAAUACCGGAGAAUACUUCCAACGGCUGGAUUCAGAAGUGAAAGGCGUCCUUCCUGCCACUAUGAGAUGAAGCCGCGCCGGAUUAGUUAGUUGGUAAGGUAACGGCAUACCAAGGCAACGAUGCGUAGCGGACCUGAGAGGGUGAUCAGCCACACUGGAACUGAGACACGGUCCAGACUCCUACGGGAGGCAGCAGUAGGGAAUCUUACGCAAUGGGCGAAAGCCUGAUGCAGCAACGCCGCGUGAGUGAUGAAGGUCUUCGGAUCGUAAAACUCUGUUGUUAGGGAAGAACAUAUGUGUAUGUAUAUGUGCACAUUUUGACGGUACCUAAUGAAAAAGCACCGGCUAACUACGUG